AUUGAACGCUGGCGGCAUGCCUUACACAUGCAAGUCGAACGGCAGCACGGGGGCAACCCUGGUGGCGAGUGGCGAACGGGUGAGUAAUACAUCGGAACGUGCCCAGUAGUGGGGGAUAGCCCGGCGAAGGCCGGAUUAAUACCGCAUACGACCUACGGGUGAAAGUGGGGGAUCGCAAGACCUCGCGCUAUCGGAGCGGCCGAUGUCAGAUUAGGUUGUUGGUGGGGUAAAAGCCUACCAAGCCGGCGAUCUGUAGCUGGUCUGAGAGGACGACCAGCCACACUGGGACUGAGACACGGCCCAGACUCCUACGGGAGGCAGCAGUGGGGAAUUUUGGACAAGUGGGCGCAAGCCUGAUCCAGCCAUGCC
This 369-nucleotide ribosomal RNA is filed under the name uncultured bacterium. Its description in RNAcentral is "bacterial SSU rRNA". It matches the Rfam family "Bacterial small subunit ribosomal RNA", at positions 29 to 398 of the family's 1533-position model. The record is from RNAcentral.